This is a long non-coding RNA of Chinchilla lanigera (long-tailed chinchilla), 1934 nucleotides long. The record is from Ensembl. NCBI's taxonomy places the organism in Eukaryota, Metazoa, Chordata, Mammalia, Rodentia, Chinchillidae.
AUGUUUGCUAAAGGAGAAGGCCUGGGUGGGCCACACAGUGCGAUGACGUCUUCCGAGUGCGCCUCUGGCCCUUGCGCCCGGACCUGGGCGUCGGAGCCGCUGGGGGGCGCCCGCGAGCCGCUCCUCCUCUUCCACUCUAUAAAGCGACCUGGCGUCCCCAAAAGGAAGGGGCCUGAGCCCACGGAGGCGGGGAUCUCAAGUCUGAACUCCGAUCCCAAGGAACCUGCGGUCCUGGAGGUGGGGUGCAAACUGCGGAAGAGUCCGGGGGUGCUGGGAGCUGGACCUAGGAAUUUCCAGCGCGGCUGUUCGCAAAAUUCCGUGCUGCCCCCGUAUGGCCGAUUAGAAGAUUAAAUUCCAACUUUGCCGUAAAACUAGCUUUUCCAGCCAAAUGUUUUAUAAAAGAGCAAGCACUUGCUAUGCCUAUCAUAAUACUUUUUCCUAACGUAUUGAGUUGGCGCUUCCAAGCCAUGUGAUCAUCAGAGAAACGUAAAGGGACAGAUACGAAGAGACUUACAAAUUUACCAAUAAUUACUGAGAAAUUAAAAACUGCAAUGUCUUUUAGACUCAGUCUUCAGAAUGUGAAAGGUCUGUGGGUCUGGAAUGUUUUCCAGUAUGCAUUUGCUACAGAUCACUGACUCGCCGCAAUUUUUGAAUAAAAUAAUAGCAAACAUUUGCUGAGUAUUGACUUAUCCAUAACGUACAUACAUAAUUUUAUGGUUAAAACAAGGAUAAAGUGGUUUAUAGAUUCAUCUAUACUUUAUGUAGAUGGAUUUAUUUAAUCCUCACUACAACUCCCAACAGUAGAUAGCUUUAUUAUCCUCAUUUCACAUAUAAAGAAACUGAAAUGGAGAGAAAAGUGAGACAUAUACAGUAAGUUUUCAACUUAUGCACAUUCAAGUUGCGAACUUUCACAGAUGGGAAUGGAUCUCGCGUUAUGAGCACUUGGAGGUGUGAACAAAUCGCGAGAGUAGCUCACGUGUCUGUGGACAUGGUCACCGUUGUGCCGCUGUGUGCUUCCUGUACGCUGCCAUGGUGCACAGUAGUACAGUGUUUGGUCAGAGCCCAGAUGUCCGGAAGCUAGAGGAAAAGCAGUGAUGAUGUGGAGGCAAGUGCUGGGCAGUGCAAAGCAGAAACCAUGGACACAAAAGUGAAACUACAGCAUGAAACUCACUUUGUUGGACUUAUGAAUGUUCUCUUGGAGUGGAACUCUUCCAUAGGUGGGACUUACCGUACUCAGUAUAAUAUUAUCCUGCCAGGAAAAACAAAAUCAUGCCGUUUGCAGGAAAAUGAAUAGAGAUCAUGACGGUAAGUGGAAUACACUAGACUCAGAAAAUCAAGCAUCAUAUUUCUUCUCAUAUGAGGAAUGGAGAGUAAGAGAGAACGUGAAGGUAGAAGAGAGACUAUUAGAGGAGAGAAGGAGGGUUAGGGGAAAGGUAAGUAAAGGGAGAGAACACAAAAUGAAUCCCACUAGUCUGUGCAACUGGUAUGUGAUGGGUUUCUCUCCUCACUAAGAUUCCUGAUGCGUCACUAUGGCGUUGGCCACUGGAAGCCAUGUGCUAAGCCCCACCCUUCUUCCUCUGAGUCACAGUAGGACUUCCUACCUCCCUUUUUGUAAUAUCCUGUUUCCUUUUCCUACGCUCCCACCCAAUCUCGUUCUGCCAGGUCAGGCCGUCCAACCCCUGAACCCUGCCUCCAGCCUGGCCCUAUCUAGCCAUUGCUCUCCCAGCCAGGCCUUCAGAGGCUCCACAUCCCUCCUUCCUACUGUGGUCUUCUCCGUGACCACAAUAAAGGCAUUUUAUUCUGUUUUAUUUCUUUCUGCUCUGGAAAAACCUAUCAGUAUGCACUAAUAAUAAUUAAAUGAAGAGAAAUUGAGGCACCAGAUAUUGAGUAAUGUGUUCAAAUUCAUUCAGCAAACAUGACAAACUAGAAGUCUG